CUCUGAGAGGUGUUGCCUCAGUGUCACUGUGUCAAGAGACUCUUCAGGACGGGAGAUUAUCCACACACACCAACAGCUGCUCUGCGAAUAAGACAAUACUUACAAAACAAUCAAUUGUAGUUUACUUUAAGAGAAAGUUAGAAGUGUUUUAUUUCUUUUUUUGAUAUAAAGGAUAUUUUUUGAUAUAGGAGUGGGAGUCGACCCUGUUGAAGUGGUGAAAGCAGUCACCCGACAGCCAGCCAGACAUGGGCUGCUGCUUCAGCGGGUCUGAGGGGGAAGGAGAGGGGGACACUAAGCACGGGGGGGACAGCGGCUGUAAGACGUGCUGUCUGAAGACCAGGAACUGCGUGAUGAGUGGAGAGUGUGGGCGCGCUCUUCAGAUUGCCAACGUCUGUGCCAUGUGUGGAAUGUGCAUCCGCAUGUUUGUCUAGCUGUGACUCCAUGAGGUCAGACCUGCUCUCAUUCCCAUGGCGACUGUACAGAGAGCUGGGACCAAUAGGACCGGUAUGCCUCUCCCAUGGGUGGAUCACCUGGGA
Long non-coding RNA from Oncorhynchus masou masou (cherry salmon), 536 nucleotides. RefSeq lists it as uncharacterized. The record is from RefSeq and is a predicted model, not a curated record. The transcript has 3 exons. Lineage: Eukaryota; Metazoa; Chordata; Actinopteri; Salmoniformes; Salmonidae.